This 425-nucleotide ribosomal RNA is filed under the name uncultured bacterium. RNAcentral's name for it is "bacterial SSU rRNA". It matches the Rfam family "Bacterial small subunit ribosomal RNA", at positions 356 to 773 of the family's 1533-position model. The record is from RNAcentral.
GGGGAAUUUUGGACAAUGGGCGCAAGCCUGAUCCAGCCAUGCCGCGUGAGUGAAGAAGGCCUUCGGGUUGUAAAGCUCUUUCAGGUGGAAAGAAAUCGGCGGGGUGAAUACCCCCGCUGGAUGACGGUACCAUCAGAAGAAGCGCCGGCUAACUACGUGCCAGCAGCCGCGGUAAUACGUAGGGUGCGAGCGUUAAUCGGAAUUACUGGGCGUAAAGCGUGCGCAGGCGGUGAUGUAAGACAGAUGUGAAAUCCCCGGGCUCAACCUGGGAACUGCGUUUGUGACUGCAUCACUCGAGUACGGCAGAGGGAGGUGGAAUUCCACGUGUAGCAGUGAAAUGCGUAGAGAUGUGGAGGAACACCGAUGGCGAAGGCAGCCUCCUGGGCCAGUACUGACGCUCAUGCACGAAAGCGUGGGGAGCAAAC